Molecule: non-coding RNA, 188 nt
Filed under: unclassified sequences
Description: DUF2800 RNA
Rfam family: DUF2800 RNA (bases 28-188)
About the family: Actinobacteria, Firmicutes, Synergistetes (1 example).
Source: RNAcentral
GUCCUGAGCAAGACGAAAAACUGCUCACCGCCAGACAUCGCAUCACUUGAUCAUUGAUGGCUCAACAGUAUCAGGUGGAACAAGUAAAUAAUGUAGUAGCUGCCUUUUGAGUGGGUUAGCUGCAAUCCGAAACGGAGAACUUCGUUUGGAAUGCGGUGCUUUUGUUAUGCCCAUUUUGCAGCUGACCA